GAGUUUGAUUAUGGCUCAGAACGAACGCUGACGGCGCGUCUUAAGCAUGCAAGUCGAACGGUAAGAGAGGAGCUUGCUCUUCUCCUAGAGUGGCGGACUGGUGAGUAACGCGUAGGUGACCUACCCUGAAGAUGGGGAUAGCUAGUAGAAAUAUUAGAUAAUACCGAAUAAGCUCAUAGACGUAAACGGAUAUGAGGAAAGGAGCUACGGCUCCGCUUUAGGAUGGGCCUGCGUCCCAUUAGCUAAGUUGGUGAGGUAAAGGCUCACCAAGGCGACGAUGGGUAUCCGGCCUGAGAGGGUGAACGGACACAUUGGGACUGAGAUACGGCCCAAACUCCUACGGGAGGCAGCAGCUAAGAAUCUUCCGCAAUGGACGAAAGUCUGACGGAGCGACGCCGUGUGAAUGAAGAAGGCCGAAAGGUUGUAAAGUUCUUUUGCAGAUGAAGAAUAAGGGCAAGAGGGAAUGCUUGUCUGA
This 475-nucleotide ribosomal RNA is filed under the name Treponema sp. canine oral taxon 350. Its description in RNAcentral is "bacterial SSU rRNA". It matches the Rfam family "Bacterial small subunit ribosomal RNA", at positions 9 to 476 of the family's 1533-position model. The record is from RNAcentral. Lineage: Bacteria; Pseudomonadati; Spirochaetota; Spirochaetia; Treponematales; Treponemataceae.